GUAAUCAUCCGAAAUCGACUGAAUGUAGGGUUAGUCAUAUGAUUUUGUUUUGGGGAUUUCGGUGAAGUUUUCUAGUUUUUGAUCUACGGACAAAAAGCUGGAAGAUGGCGAUAGGAGUGAAGGAUUUAUGAUCUUUUCAAGCGGCUUCGGAUUAGCAGAAUGUAGAGGUUAUUCGCAGAGUUUGAGCUUGAUUCAUACGGAAUCGAAUUUCGAGUUUCUGCUUCUAACAAGCGAUAUCGUGGGUAUACAGAGUCAACUUCUUUAAGCGAAAAGGUAUUCUAAUUUCUCAAGAAUCCAGCUUCAGUUGUCGUGGACUUUUUCUCAGCUUUGAAAAGGAAACUUGAGUGAGGCUAUUAAAUCAGAGCUGCGUGUAGAAUUAGCUUGUUAUGUGGAUUUGUGAACAGGUUUUUAGUUUUCAGCUCAUGGGUGGUUUAAAAGUAGCGAACUUGGAGUUAUUUUGCCUUGCGUAUCUACAAAACGAAGUUUGACAUUAUAGUCGUCAAUCUUGUUGGCCUAUGAAACAAUAUUUGACUAUACAUUGCAUCAAUCCCUGGCUUCACGCGCAGAAGAGGCAAAAACAAAAAACAAAAACGCUUUUUUUUGGGUUUCUAUGGCUUGAUGAAACCUCAAUACAUGUGCUAUGCUGCUUAAAUUUCUUCUUCUUGUUUCUUUCCAUCUCUUUUAGCUACCGAGCAUUUCUUCCUGCGUAACGCUGCUGCUGCCCUGUUUUCCUUGAUCCAGACUUUUCGACACGGGCUUUGCGGACAGCUUGUUGGAUCUGCUUCUCGUGCUCUUUGAGCAAAUCUUCAAGAUUUCCACCAGGAGGCAUCAAUGGUCCUGAGUAAUGGAUUCUGUUUUUCCUUGGUGCGUUUCCCUGACACAGCCCAAGGCACACUCAACAAUUACAGUACAUACCAAACGGUUUAAGGUACACAAACUAACUAGAGGGGAAAAAAGAGGCUUACGGUUGAGUAAUCUCUGUUGGGAUCUCUUCUAUAAGAAGAGCCAGACAAUUCUCCUGUUUGUGAUAUCCUAGACUUCAGCUCUGCAUUAGUUUGUCUUUUCAUGCUUCCACCUCUGUUCCAUUCUUUACCAGCAACAAUUGGAUGAACCAUUGAAGAAGCAUGAGCGUGACCAUUCUGCUGGAUCCCUCUUCUGGGUGGUUCGAUCCUAAACCCGGUGCCACCUUCCUCG
Molecule: long non-coding RNA, 1194 nt
Filed under: Eutrema salsugineum
Lineage: Eukaryota; Viridiplantae; Streptophyta; Magnoliopsida; Brassicales; Brassicaceae
Description: long non-coding RNA (ESAL_LNC000057)
Source: RNAcentral